AAUGGGCGCAGCCUGAUCAGCCAUGCCGCGUGAGUGAUGAAGCCCUUGGGUUGUAAAGCUCUUUGACGGGGACGAUAAUGACGGUACCCGUAGAAGAAGCCCCGGCUAACUUCGUGCCAGCAGCCGCGGUAAUA
This 134-nucleotide ribosomal RNA is filed under the name uncultured bacterium. RNAcentral's name for it is "partial 16S ribosomal RNA". It matches the Rfam family "Bacterial small subunit ribosomal RNA", at positions 370 to 525 of the family's 1533-position model. The record is from RNAcentral.